AGAAUCAACGCUGGCGGCGUGCCUAACACAUGCAAGUCGAACGCGAAAGCCCCGCAAGGGGCAAGUAGAGUGGCAAACGGGUGAGUAACACGUGGGUGACCUGCCUUCGAGCGGGGGAUAACGUUCCGAAAGGGACGCUAAUACCGCAUAACAUCCUGCCUUUGAAGAGGUGGAGAUCAAAGCUGGGGAUCGCAAGACCCGGCACUUGAAGAGGGGCCCGCGCCUGAUUAGCUAGUGGUGGGUAAUGGCCUACAAGGCAACGAUCAGU
This 268-nucleotide ribosomal RNA is filed under the name uncultured soil bacterium. RNAcentral's name for it is "partial 16S ribosomal RNA". It matches the Rfam family "Bacterial small subunit ribosomal RNA", at positions 26 to 284 of the family's 1533-position model. The record is from RNAcentral.